This 433-nucleotide ribosomal RNA is filed under the name uncultured bacterium. RNAcentral describes it as "bacterial SSU rRNA". It matches the Rfam family "Bacterial small subunit ribosomal RNA", at positions 29 to 507 of the family's 1533-position model. The record is from RNAcentral.
AACGAACGCUGGCGGCAGGCCUAAUACAUGCAAGUCGAGCGCUCUAGCAAUAGAGAGCGGCGCACGGGUGCGUAACGCGUGGGAAUGUACCUCUAGGUGCGGAACAACGUCGGGAAACUGACGCUAAUACCGCAUAAUAUCUCCGGAUCAAAGAUUUAUCGCCUAGGGAUCAGCCCGCGUUGGAUUAGCUAGUUGGUGAGGUAAUGGCUCACCAAGGCGACGAUCCAUAGCUGGUCUGAGAGGAUGAUCAGCCACACUGGGACUGAGACACGGCCCAGACUCCUACGGGAGGCAGCAGUGAGGAAUAUUGGACAAUGGGGGCAACCCUGAUCCAGCCAUGCCGCGUGAAUGAAGAAGGCCUUAGGGUUGUAAAAUUCUUUCAGAUGCGAAGAUAAUGACGGUACCAUCAGAAGAAGCUCCGGCUAAAUUCGUG